UGAACGCUGGCGGCGUGCUUAACACAUGCAAGUCGAACGAACCUUCGGGUUAGUGGCGGACGGGUGAGUAACGCGUGGGAAUCUGCCCUCAGGAGGGGGAUAACGGUUGGAAACGGCCGCUAAUACCCCAUAUGCCGAGAGGUGAAAUGAAUUUCGCCUGAGGAUGAGCCCGCGUCUGAUUAGCUAGUUGGUGAGGUAAGAGCUCACCAAGGCAUCGAUCAGUAGCUGGUCUGAGAGGAUGAUCAGCCACACUGGGACUGAGACACGGCCCAGACUCCUACGGGAGGCAGCAGUGGGGAAUUUUCCGCAAUGGGCGAAAGCCUGACGGAGCAACGCCGCGUGAGGGAUGAAGGCCUCUGGGCUGUAAACCUCUUUUAUCAAGGAAGAAGAUCUGACGGUACUUGAUGAAUAAGCCACGGCUAAUUCCGU
Molecule: ribosomal RNA, 429 nt
Filed under: uncultured cyanobacterium
Lineage: Bacteria; Bacillati; Cyanobacteriota
Description: bacterial SSU rRNA
Rfam family: Bacterial small subunit ribosomal RNA
Source: RNAcentral